Molecule: non-coding RNA, 110 nt
Filed under: Streptomyces tubercidicus
Lineage: Bacteria; Bacillati; Actinomycetota; Actinomycetes; Kitasatosporales; Streptomycetaceae
Description: Streptomyces RNA 4115
Rfam family: Streptomyces RNA 4115
About the family: Identified by deep sequencing of transcriptome at the end of exponential growth phase.
Source: Rfam by way of RNAcentral
GCGUGGGUCGGCCCGCUGCACUGGAUCCAGUGGGCUGGGGGAUACCGUCACCUCAAUUCCCCGCGGGUGACGGUCCGGUCCGGGGGGCGCAGCCCGCCUCCCGGACCGUC